RNAcentral lists this ribosomal RNA (480 nucleotides) under uncultured bacterium. Its description in RNAcentral is "bacterial SSU rRNA". It matches the Rfam family "Bacterial small subunit ribosomal RNA", at positions 384 to 880 of the family's 1533-position model. The record is from RNAcentral.
UGAUGCAGCGACGCCGCGUGAAGGAAGAAGUAUCUCGGUAUGUAAACUUCUAUCAGCAGGGAAGAUAAUGACGGUACCUGACUAAGAAGCCCCGGCUAACUACGUGCCAUCAGCCGCGGUAAUACGUAGGGGGCAAGCGUUAUCCGGAUUUACUGGGUGUAAAGGGAGCGUAGGCGGCGGAGCAAGUCAGAAGUGAAAGCCCGGGGCUCAACCCCGGGACGGCUUUUGAAACUGCCCUGCUUGAUUUCAGGAGAGGUAAGCGGAAUUCCUAGUGUAGCGGUGAAAUGCGUAGAUAUUAGGAGGAACACCAGUGGCGAAGGCGGCUUACUGGACUGACAAUGACGCUGAGGCUCGAAAGCGUGGGGAGCAAACAGGAUUAGAUACCCUGGUUGUCCACGCCGUAAACGAUGAAUACUAGGUGUCGGGGCUCAUAAGAGCUUCGGUGCCGCAGCAAACGCAAUAAGUAUUCCACCUGGGGAG